UACGUAGGGUGCGAGCGUUGCCCGGAUUUAUUGGGCGUAAAGGGCGCGUAGGCGGCCACGCACGUCCGUUGUGAAAUCGCCCGGCUCAACUGGGCGGGGUCAGCGGAUACGGUGUGGCUCGAGCAAGCUAGGGGGCAAUGGAAUUCCCGGUGUAGUGGUGGAAUGCGUAGAUAUCUGGAGGAACACCGGUGGCGAAGGCGGCAUCCUGGACCGGUAUUGACGCUGAGGCGCGAAAGCCAGGGGAGCAAACGGG
Molecule: ribosomal RNA, 253 nt
Filed under: uncultured bacterium
Lineage: Bacteria
Description: partial 16S ribosomal RNA
Rfam family: Bacterial small subunit ribosomal RNA
Source: RNAcentral